AACGAACGCUGGCGGCGUGGAUAAGACAUGCAAGUCGAACGGGACUAAAUCUGUAGCAAUACAGGUUUAGUUUAGUGGCGAACGGGUGCGUAACACGUGGGCAAUCUGCCGAGAAGUGGGGGAUAGCUCGCCGAAAGGCGAAUUAAUACCGCAUAUGAUCAGCUAAGACAUCUUAGCGACAUCAAAGCCGGGGUAACCUGGCGCUUCUUGAUGAGCCCGCGGCCUAUCAGCUAGUUGGUGAGGUAACGGCUCACCAAGGCUAUGACGGGUAGCUGGUCUGAGAGGACGACCAGUCACACUGGAACUGAGACACGGUCCAGACACCUACGGGUGCAGCAGUCGAGUAAUUUUUCUCAAUGGGGAAACCCUGAAGGAGCGACGCCGCGUGGAGGAUGAAGGCUUUCGGUUGUAAACUCCUGUCAUUUGAGAACAAGUGUAGCCAAGUAACUACCGGCUACUUGAUAGUAUCAGAAGAGGAAGAGACGGCUAACU
Molecule: ribosomal RNA, 492 nt
Filed under: uncultured bacterium
Lineage: Bacteria
Description: bacterial SSU rRNA
Rfam family: Bacterial small subunit ribosomal RNA
Source: RNAcentral